Molecule: ribosomal RNA, 395 nt
Filed under: uncultured bacterium
Lineage: Bacteria
Description: partial 16S ribosomal RNA
Rfam family: Bacterial small subunit ribosomal RNA
Source: RNAcentral
AUACGUAGGGUGCAAGCGUUAAUCGGAAUUACUGGGCGUAAAGCGUGCGCAGGCGGUUUUGUAAGACAGAGGUGAAAUCCCCGGGCUCAACCUGGGAACUGCCUUUGUGACUGCCAGGCUAGAGUACGGCAGAGGGGGAUGGAAUUCCGCGUGUAGCAGUGAAAUGCGUAGAUAUGCGGAGGAACACCGAUGGCGAAGGCAAUCCCCUGGGCCUGUACUGACGCUCAUGCACGAAAGCGUGGGGAGCAAACAGGAUUUGAUACCCUGGUAGUCCACGCCCUAAACGAUGUCAACUGGUUGUUGGGGAUUUAUUUUCUCAGUAACGAAGCUAACGCGUGAAGUUGACCGCGUGGGGAGUACGGCCGCAAGGUUAAAACUCAAAUGAGUUGACGGGG